GUUUUUUUGUUUAACUUCUAAGAUAUGUUCUUCUCCCUCGACUUCUCCCUCUGAACCAGAAACUCUCCUCGCCUCUCAUAUCUUCUAUCUUCUUUUCUUUCAUUUUGAGAAUAUGAUGAGAUCCCGUUGUUAGUGAAAAGAGGCAAAUUUGAUAAUGGAUGUUUCUGAUUUGAUUUGUGUUUAUGUUCUGUAUUUACUGAUCAAUAUCUCUUAUUUGGCCGGCCGAUUGGAGAAAUAAAAUAAAAAUCUCUUAUGUGUUUCCUAGGCCUGAUCUCUAUUUGCUAUUAUGUGAGUUUUAUUUGAUAAAAUAAAAUAAAAAUAGAUGUACUAAAAUUUGGUUGAUGUAUUUAUCUCGUCCUCUUAUUUUACUGACCUGCAACUGAAGGUUUAUUGACAAGCUCCGGUUUUGGAAAAUGCAUUUGCGUAAUACAAUAUGAGUUUGAUGUUCUAAAAGUUUUUGGUGUUACAGCUUCUGUGCUCAAAAUGAGGUUCCGUGUUUUUAUACAUACGUGGAAGUUCAUGACUUCAUAUUCUAGAUGAUAAGAAGCUGGGAUGUCAACUUGCCGUUAGAGAAGAUUUGAUUGGCCAAUCUGCAAAUGAUGCUGCUAAGGCUGAGACGGUUCUAUUAUUUCUGCCUCAAAAAAUCUAUUCUAUAUCUAUCUUACUCGUAUGAUUUUGAUUUUAUCAUCUCAUUCAUUGCUGGCUUCGUACCCUUUUUCCCUUUUCUAGCUUCCAAGUUGAAGUCUCAGGUCCCAUUGGUUAACAGAUGUUUACUGAUAAUUUUCGUCUGGAAAAUGUGAAAAUACUUGUAUUUCAUUCAAAUGGAAACUUGAUAUGAGGUACACGACAUUGUGACAAUGCCUCUGACAUGUUGAUAUAGAGAUAACUAUGAGUGAUCUUCGGAUUUCAAAAGAUUUUUGUUAUAGGGAAAGCUGAUUUAUUUAGGGGGAAAGCUAUUGUUAUUAGAUAUGUACAGGGGGAAAUAAUAGCUAUUGUUAUUAGAUAACUAUGAGAUAACUUGUUGCUGCUCUCUGCAUUACCCUAUUUAUUUCUUCCAUGUUUGAUUGUUCUUAGCAUCAAAAUGAAUAGCUUAAGAGAAUUACAACUUUAUAGGGCAACUAGACAUAUUAAAAACAAUUUGAAUGUCAACAUUUUAAAUUUCUGAACUGAAUGUGUUCGUAUAUUACGGUUGCAUGUGCUUUGCAUUUUUUCUGAAUAGUAACGAAGUUAACGUUCUGUUUAAUGAAGAUUUGAAAAUAUUAUCGGGGUUUAAUGUUCUGAGCAUUGGUUUCUUUUUAUAGCUUUAUUGGGUUCGUGUAGGCGAGUUGGAUGCAGGGAAAAAUUGGAUUAGUUGCGUAAGACAAUGUGAAUUUGGUGUUCUAAAGAUUUUUGGUGUUACUGCUUCUGUGCUCAAAAUGAGGUUCCGUGUUUUUAUAUAUUCGUGGAAGUUGAUGUUCUAGAUGAUAAGGAGCUGGGAUGUCAAUUUCCGUUAGAGACGAUUUGAUUGGCCAAUCUGCAAAUGAUGCUGCUAAGGCUGAGAUGGUUUUAUCAUUUCUGCCUCAAAACAUCUAUUCUAUAUCUAUGUUACUCGUAUGAUUUUGAUUUUGUCAUCUCUUUCAUUGCUGACUUCGUACCCGGAGGAAAAGGUUUUCCCUUUUCUAGCUUCAAAGUUUAAGUCUCAGGUCCCACUGGUUAACAAGUGUUUACUGAUAAUUUUUGUCUGGCAUAUUUGAAAAUAUUUGUAUGUCGUUCAUGGAAACUUGAUAAGGUAGACGACAUUGUGACAAUGCCUUUGACAUGUUAUAUGAGUGAUUUUUGGAUUUCAAAUAUCUAUUAGUAAUUUUCAAAGCUUCUACUCAGUAUCAUUUUCUAUGGUUCGUAUUGUGCAGUAUUUUGUGUUUUGCUUCUUUAAUUUUAUCAUUUUUGUGGAUGGGGAAACAUGUCGGCCGAAUCAUCACCAACUUGCAUUCUUAUAUAACAGUUCAGUUACUGCCAUUGACAUUUACAAGGGAUAUGAAGUUAUGUUGCAUUCUUACAUUCUUGCUCUUUUACCGCAGGUAAAUAUCAACGUUCUUUUAGAUGGAAAUGGGUUCGGAAGAAGAAGGAAUACCAUGCUCUACACAGUGCGUAGAGGAAGGACGACCGCACGACUAUUAACCGUAUAGGGUUAAUAUUUCUACAUCUAAUUUACACCAUUUUUGGAAGCACAGUGAUAUUAGAUGUACAGAUCUAACACAAUUCGACUUGUGCAGCAAGCUUUGAUAAGCAUGUUUAGAAUAUGACUGCACCAUCAAGGUCGCUUUCGAGCAACAAAUUAACUAAGACAACUUCACAGAUUAGAUAUCAGUAAUUUGGUUUAGCCUCGGGCCAGAAUAAGCUGCAUUUCUUAUCCUUGCGCUGCCGUUGAAGAGUUUUUAUUUCUUGUGAAGCACUACUGAGUCUGAAGGAAGGGUUUGUAUAAUCUUUUUAUUUUGAGGCUUGUCUUCUACAGAAAAUUUGGCCCAACCCCUCUAUUUACGUGAAAGUUGUUUUCCCUUUCUUCUUUUA
Molecule: long non-coding RNA, 2547 nt
Organism: Papaver somniferum (opium poppy)
Lineage: Eukaryota; Viridiplantae; Streptophyta; Magnoliopsida; Ranunculales; Papaveraceae
Exons: 4
Source: RefSeq, a predicted model, not a curated record